This 1969-nucleotide long non-coding RNA is filed under the name Piliocolobus tephrosceles (Ugandan red Colobus). RNAcentral describes it as "lncRNA (ENSPTEG00000012253.1)". The record is from RNAcentral. Lineage: Eukaryota; Metazoa; Chordata; Mammalia; Primates; Cercopithecidae.
AAAAUGAAAAAAAGUCAAAAUGAAAAAAAGUCAAAAUGAAAAAGAGUUAAAAUAAAAAAAAAUCAAAAUGAAAAAGAGUUAAAAUGAAAAAAAAUCAAAAAUAAAAUAAAAAUAAAAAUAAAAUUAAAAAUAAAAUUAAAAUUAAAAGUAAAAUUAAAAUUAAAAUUAAAAUUAAAAAUAAAAAUAAAAACCAAUUUAAAAAUAGCAUUUAAAAUAAACGUAAAAGGAAAAAAAAAAAAAUAGUUAGCUAGUAUGUUUACUUAUAUAUAUAUAUAUAUAUAUAUACAGAUGGGUAGAUAAGUGCUUACAUUUACAUAUACUCAAGUAUUCCCAUAUAAUAUAUACAUAUGCAUACAUAACCUCAACUCGCUUGCAAAAAAUAAAUUUAGUACGCUCUUUGUGCUUUGGCACGUAUUACUAUGUAUAUAGUGUCAUAAUAAGCAAUAAGUCGAUUAAAAAAAAGAAAAUAAAAAUAAAUGUUUUAUACUAAGCUUACAUACAUUAGUAACAAGGGGGGAAUAAUAUGCUCAUUUUUUAAAAGAUCAACAGUUUUUUAUAUUUUGGUAAAAAAAAAUUAUAAAACAGUUUUUAUGCUUAGAUCAAAGUUACAUAGGAAAUUGUAUUGUUAACAUUUUAACGUUAAAUAAACAUUAUAAAUGUCGUUAUAAGUAGUUCAAAAAAAAAAAAAAAAGGCAUUAAAAGAGGUAUUAAAAAUAAAUGUUUCGAUACGUAAGUAAUUUAAUAUAUAAAAAAAAAAAAUAAUAAUUAACAAACAUUAAAUAUAUGAAAAAAUAAAAAUAAUAAUAUACAGUUGUAAAAACUUAAAAACAAACAAACAACAUAUAAAAAUAUAUAGGUAUUACCACUUAUCUAAGUGUUUACAUCAUUUUUUUUUUUAAUAAAAAAAAAAAAAAAAAAAAAAAAAUUUGUUCAGUAUGUGUGGUAUAUUAGCUAUUUUUCAUUCUUCUAUUGAAAAGCAUGGGUUGAGGAGGAAGGCUCUUGAACUAUCUAAAAUAUUAAGACAUCGAGGACCUGACUGGAAUGGUCUUGUACUCGAAGAGAAUGAAGAUGGAACAAAUAACGUGAUAGCACAUGAGCGUUUAGCAAUCGUUGACGUUUUAUCAGGACAUCAACCUUUAUUCGAUGAUGAGAAAGAAUUAUGUUUAACUAUUAAUGGAGAAAUAUACAAUCAUUUAGAUUUAAGAAAGAAAAUAGAUGAAUCGAUAUUAGAGAAAUUAACUAGCCAUUCUGAUUGUGCAAUUGUACCUAAUUUAUAUAAAAUAUAUAAAGAACAAAUGCCAUCUAUGUUAUAUGGUAUGUUUGCAGGAGUAAUAAGUGAUUGUAAAAACAAUACAAUUUUUNNNNNNNNNNUUUUUUUUGUUUUCUAUAUAAUCAUCAUAUAAAAACUUAGGUACACAAGUAGAUUUACCUGAACCAGUUUCUCCAUGUAUAAAUACAAUAUCAUUGUUUUCAAUUAAUUUUAAAAUAGUAUUUUUUUCUUUGUAUAUAGCUAACUGUUUUAUUUGUUGUUCAGCAUUCUUGUUACUGAAGUCUAGCGGUCGAUCCAUUAUUAAUCUUCCUCUAUUUUUAUUUUUGUCCAUGAUUUCAUAUAAAUCGGAAUUAUUCCUUUGUUGAUCCAUGUGUAUGUUAUUUUUAUUACCACUGUAAAAUGAAUGGUAUUGUCUCUUAUUCCCAAAACUAUUAUUAUCAUCAAAUGAACUAUACAUUCCUGCCUGACCGUUGUUCAUGUUGUUCAUAUUAUUUGUACUAUUAUUUUUAUACUCUUCGUUGCGAUUUCUUCCGUGAUGAGUGGUAUUGUAUGCAUUAUCACUUCGACUAAACCCUGUAUUCGUCCUGUUAUUUUUACUAUCAUAGCCAUUAUUAUUGCGGUUGUUAUUGUUGUUGUUGUUGUUGUUGUUGUUGUUGUUGUUGUUGUUGCUGUUGUUGUUGUUGUUGUUGUUGUUGUUGU